UGUGACUCUACAUCUUGGGAUAUGUCCUUCUGUCCUGAAGGAUUUAUUUACCUCUCAACUGCUUAUUUUUAAUUACAAAUUCAAUGUUUCUAAUAGAGACAUUCAAGUUAUCCAUUUAUCUAAAAUGAGUUGUAGCCUGGUUGACCAGCAGACCCAUGCCACUGGAGCCCAGGUCCCAGCCCAGUACCACCCCCGUUGAUCUACUGACCUAUACUGGAUCCAGGCCCUAGCCCAUCCGACCCCACUGCCCUAUAUGGGAGGCCAGAACCAAGUUAGGCCCAGGUCUGCCCCAUCUACCAGCAGACCCAUGCCAUCUAUACUGCAGCUGCAGCCCAGGUCAGGCCCGGCACCACGUCUGGGUCUACCUGGGAGCCCAAGCCUAGCCCACCUCCAUCUUGGACACUAUGGCAGCCACGGCCAUAGUCCUACCCAUGCAGUAGCCUCUACCUUGUGAUAACAGACAAGGCCUAGAAGCCAUUGCAUCUCGGAACAGGCAGCCCAAAGCGAUUGUAAGGCCCACCCUUUCAGACCCAACUCCCAAAGUGGUUGCAUCUAUCUUGGGACAUCCCCACUGUGAUCUUGCGUCAUCUCCACUAUUGCUGUCACCACUUUUAGUUGUAGUAGCAUCCACCAUGAGACACCAGCAAAGUCUGGAAGUCAAACACCAAGGUGAGGUAUACAGAUAAUCUGCAUGGACAGUAUAAGAGUAUAGGGUAGAAACUAUAAUACCUCAGAUCCAGCACUGCAAGAAAGGAAGACACUUAGACAACAAGAAAAAACAAGGGGAGAAAGUGCCCCAAAUAAACCAGGAUACUACAAUAAUAGAAUCCAUGGAUGGCACAGUUGAUCAAAUGUCAGAGAAGGAGUUCAGAAUAUACAUAAUUAAAAUGAUCUGUGAAUUAAAGAAAGACUUAAAUGAGCAAAUAUGUAAAAUGUGAUCACUCCAAUGAAGAGAUAAGAGAGCAAAUACAGGCAAUCAUUGUUCACUCCAACAAAGAGAUAAGGGAGAAAAU
This 1013-nucleotide long non-coding RNA is filed under the name Marmota monax (woodchuck). Lineage: Eukaryota; Metazoa; Chordata; Mammalia; Rodentia; Sciuridae. The record is from RNAcentral.